AACGAACGCUGGCGGCAGGCCUAACACAUGCAAGUCGAACGGGCACCUUCGGGUGUCAGUGGCAGACGGGUGAGUAACGCGUGGGAACGUACCCUUCGGUUCGGAAUAACCCGGGGAAACUCGGGCUAAUACCGGAUACGUCCGCAAGGAGAAAGAUUUAUCGCCGAAGGAUCGGCCCGCGUCCGAUUAGCUAGUUGGUGGGGUAAUGGCCCACCAAGGCGACGAUCGGUAGCUGGUCUGAGAGGAUGAUCAGCCACACUGGGACUGAGACACGGCCCAGACUCCUACGGGAGGCAGCAGUGGGGAAUAUUGGACAAUGGGCGAAAGCCUGAUCCAGCCAUGCCGCGUGAGUGAAGAAGGCCCUAGGGUUGUAAAGCUCUUUCAGCGGGGAAGAUAAUGACGGUACCCGCAGAAGAAGCCCCGGCUAACUUCGUGCCAGCAGCCGCGGUAAUACGAAGGGGGCUAGCGUUGUUCGGAUUUACUGGGCGUAAAGCGCGCGUAGGCGGACAUUUAAGUCAGGGGUGAAAUACCCG
This 533-nucleotide ribosomal RNA is filed under the name uncultured bacterium. RNAcentral's name for it is "bacterial SSU rRNA". It matches the Rfam family "Bacterial small subunit ribosomal RNA", at positions 28 to 605 of the family's 1533-position model. The record is from RNAcentral.